Molecule: ribosomal RNA, 751 nt
Filed under: uncultured bacterium
Lineage: Bacteria
Description: bacterial SSU rRNA
Rfam family: Bacterial small subunit ribosomal RNA
Source: RNAcentral
GAUGAACGCUGGCGGCGUGCCUAACACAUGCAAGUCGAACGGACAUUUUUUGGAAAGCUCUUCGGAACUGGAAUCUAAAUGUUAGUGGCGGACGGGUGAGUAACGCGUGAGCAAUCUGCCUUUCAGAGGGGGAUAACAGCCGGAAACGGCUGCUAAUACCGCAUAAUGCAUUGGAUUCGCAUGUUUCUGAUGCCAAAGAUUUUAUCGCUGAAAGAUGAGCUCGCGUCUGAUUAGCUAGUUGGCGGGGUAACGGCCCACCAAGGCGACGAUCAGUAGCCGGACUGAGAGGUUGAACGGCCACAUUGGGACUGAGACACGGCCCAGACUCCUACGGGAGGCAGCAGUGGGGAAUAUUGCGCAAUGGGGGCAACCCUGACGCAGCAACGCCGCGUGAUUGAUGAAGGUCUUCGGAUUGUAAAAAUCUUUAAUCAGGGACGAAGAAAAUGACGGUACCUGAAGAAUAAGCUCCGGCUAACUACGUGCCAGCAGCCGCGGUAAUACGUAGGGAGCAAGCGUUAUCCGGAUUUACUGGGUGUAAAGGGCGUGUAGGCGGGCUUGCAAGUUGGAAGUGAAAUCUCGGGGCUUAACCCCGAAACUGCUUUCAAAACUGCGAGUCUUGAGUGAUGGAGAGGCAGGCGGAAUUCCCAGUGUAGCGGUGAAAUGCGUAGAUAUUGGGAGGAACACCAGUGGCGAAGGCGGCCUGCUGGACAUUAACUGACGCUGAGGCGCGAAAGCGUGGGGAGCAAACAGG